GUUCGGAUGCAUUGGGCGUAAAGGGUGCGUAGGCGGCGCGGUAAGUCGGGUGUGAAAUCUUGGAGCUUAACUCCGAAACUGCAUUCGAUACUGCCGUGCUUGAGGACUGGAGAGGAGACUGGAAUUUACGGUGUAGCGGUGAAAUGCGUAGAUAUCGUAAGGAAGACCAGUGGCGAAGGCGGGUCUCUGGACAGUUCCUGACGCUGAGGCACGAAGGCCAGGGGAGCAAACGGG
Molecule: ribosomal RNA, 234 nt
Filed under: uncultured bacterium
Lineage: Bacteria
Description: partial 16S ribosomal RNA
Rfam family: Bacterial small subunit ribosomal RNA
Source: RNAcentral